CCUCUGGUUGUAACCGCUGUCAAGGGAGGGAACGUAUGGUGUUAACAGCGCCGUGCUUGACUGCUCCCUAAAGGAAGCCCGGCCAAACAUGUGC
Molecule: ribosomal RNA, 94 nt
Filed under: uncultured bacterium
Lineage: Bacteria
Description: partial 16S ribosomal RNA
Source: RNAcentral